This is a long non-coding RNA of Benincasa hispida (wax gourd), 446 nucleotides long. RefSeq lists it as uncharacterized. NCBI's taxonomy places the organism in Eukaryota, Viridiplantae, Streptophyta, Magnoliopsida, Cucurbitales, Cucurbitaceae. The record is from RefSeq and is a predicted model, not a curated record.
GGCCAAUUGAUGUCGAGAGGCUAGCGAGAACUUGUUACUGCCGUCCAUUGUUCUACAACACGAAUGUAGAGAAGUUACAACAGGUUGUGUGGAAUGGGAAUGUAUGCAAGAUGGAUUUCCAAAUUUAUAGCCUCAAGGAGGAGAUCGGAAUAUUUAUCUGGGUCUUGAACAUGCUCUGAUUGGUGAAAUCGCUAAUGAAAAGGCAAUAAGAUUCGAAACCAAAGCUCUAUGUCAUUAACAUUGAGAAUUUCAGAUUAUAUGUCAAAUUUGUCUGCAAUUUAGUGAUUUAUUGAUUCUAUAUGGUUUAGUGAUUUCUGCUAUUUAGUGAUGAUGUUUAGGAUGGCGUUAAUUUUAGUUUAUUUGAAUCUUCUACUUAGAAACAUCUAUUAAAACAAUAUUUUAAAGAUCUAUCAUGAUAUAUGAAAUUACAAACAAUAUUCUAAACA